AUCUUAUAUCUUCCGAGGGCAAUCUUAUCCCACUCACCCUCUCUCCUCUCAUUUCUCCUCUCUCUCUAGAUCUCUCCUCUGUCUCAAUCCAGUCUCAAUCCAGGAGUAGGAUGUGGCGCCGACGGUGCCGGUGUUGAUCUCUCCUCUGCACGGUGCGGCGGGAUGAAGAUGGGGGAUGCGGCGCAGCGCUGGCGAUGGUGGACGCACGGUUCUGCGCGGCAGACGCGGCGUCACUGGCCGUGGCGAAGACUGAGCAUGUCCGGGAGCGACUUCCGACGCGCUCGUGCUGCGCGUGGAUGGCGUGCUGUUCAGCCUCCGCAGACGGUGCUUCCUCGUUGACGCCGACGGCCGCCCCGUCCUCACCGUCCAAGAAUCGAUCGACCGGCGAUUCAUCGUGGUGAGCGCGCUGCUGGGGAAGAACACGUAUAGCGUCACCGUCAACCAGGCAUCGACUACGCUUCGUCGUCGCGCUCAUCGUCAUCCUCGACGAGAUGCAUUACCAGCGAUGACACACACAGCAGUUUUGAUCCGAAGCCUCAGUUUUGCUGCCCCUGACAACUCGAAGCAUUUUGUACUUGUAUUGAGGCCUUGUUGUCCUGUAUGUCUAUGCAAAUGGUUCUAACCCAGCGUUAAAGUUA
This is a long non-coding RNA of Phragmites australis (common reed), 638 nucleotides long. RefSeq lists it as uncharacterized. The transcript is spliced from 2 exons. The record is from RefSeq and is a predicted model, not a curated record. NCBI's taxonomy places the organism in Eukaryota, Viridiplantae, Streptophyta, Magnoliopsida, Poales, Poaceae.